AGUGAACGCUGGCGGUAGGCCUAACACAUGCAAGUCGAACGGCAGCACAGUAAGAGCUUGCUCUUACGGGUGGCGAGUGGCGGACGGGUGAGGAAUACAUCGGAAUCUACUUUUUCGUGGGGGAUAACGUAGGGAAACUUACGCUAAUACCGCAUACGACCUACGGGUGAAAGCAGGGGAUCUUCGGACCUUGCGCGAUUGAAUGAGCCGAUGUCGGAUUAGCUAGUUGGCGGGGUAAAGGCCCACCAAGGCGACGAUCCGUAGCUGGUCUGAGAGGAUGAUCAGCCACACUGGAACUGAGACACGGUCCAGACUCCUACGGGAGGCAGCAGUGGCGAAUAUUGGACAAUGGGCGCGAGCCUGAUCCAGCCAUACCGCGUGGGUGAAGAAGGCCUUCGGGUUGUAAAGCCCUUUUGUUGGGAAAGAAAAGCAGCAGGUUAAUACCCCGCUGUUCUGACGGUACCCAAAGAAUAAGCACCGGCUAACUUCGUG
Molecule: ribosomal RNA, 492 nt
Filed under: uncultured bacterium
Lineage: Bacteria
Description: partial 16S ribosomal RNA
Rfam family: Bacterial small subunit ribosomal RNA
Source: RNAcentral